RNAcentral lists this ribosomal RNA (253 nucleotides) under uncultured bacterium. RNAcentral's name for it is "partial 16S ribosomal RNA". It matches the Rfam family "Bacterial small subunit ribosomal RNA", at positions 524 to 776 of the family's 1533-position model. The record is from RNAcentral.
UACGAAGGGGGCUAGCGUUGUUCGGAAUCACUGGGCGUAAAGGGCGCGUAGGCGGCUUUUCAAGUCGGGGGUGAAAUCCUGGAGCUCAACUCCAGAACUGCCCUUGAUACUGGGGAUCUUGAGUCCGGAAGAGGUGAGUGGAACUCCGAGUGUAGAGGUGAAAUUCGUAGAUAUUCGGAAGAACACCAGUGGCGAAGGCGGCUCACUGGUCCGGUACUGACGCUGAGGUGCGAAAGCGUGGGGAGCAAACAGG